This 215-nucleotide long non-coding RNA is filed under the name Prunus persica (peach). Its description in RNAcentral is "long non-coding RNA (PPER_LNC006817)". The record is from RNAcentral. Lineage: Eukaryota; Viridiplantae; Streptophyta; Magnoliopsida; Rosales; Rosaceae.
CAAUCGUAGGCGUUAGGGAGACAUCCGGUAAGAUUUCUUGUCACUGGCAGAUUGGCAGGAGGUAGGGGUAGGGGAGAAGGUCUAUGCAACGAUGUGAAAAACUAAACGGCUCUUAGCUUUCUGUAUGGGUGAAAAAAGUAAUUAAAAAUUAAAUGUUAAAAACUCAUUUAAUGAUGUGGCAUAGCCAACUCAACAACCACAUCAGAUGGUACACA